AUUGAACGCUGGCGGCAGGCCUAACACAUGCAAGUCGAGCGGAUGAAGGGAGCUUGCUCCUGGAUUCAGCGGCGGACGGGUGAGUAAUGCCUAGGAAUCUGCCUGGUAGUGGGGUAUAACGUCCGGAAACGGGCGCUAAUACUGCAUACGUCCUGAGGGAGAAAGUGGGGGAUCUUCGGACCUCACGCUAUCAGAUGAGCCUAGGUCGGAUUAGCUAGUUGGUGGGGUAAAGGCCUACCAAGGCGACGAUCCGUAACUGGUCUGAGAGGAUGAUCAGUCACACUGGAGCGGAGACACGGUCCAGACUCCUACGGGAGGCAGCAGUGGGGAAUAUUGGACAAUGGGCGAAAGCCUGAUCCAGCCAUGCCGCGUGUGUGAAGAAGGUCUUCGGAUUGUAAAGCACUUUAAGUUGGGAGGAAGGGCAGUAAGUUAAUACCUUGCUGUUUUGACGGUACCAACAGAAUAAGCACCGGCUAACUUCGUG
Molecule: ribosomal RNA, 484 nt
Filed under: uncultured bacterium
Lineage: Bacteria
Description: partial 16S ribosomal RNA
Rfam family: Bacterial small subunit ribosomal RNA
Source: RNAcentral